GGACCAUCCUCCAAGGCUAAAUACUCCUGACUGACCGAUAGUGAACCAGUACCGUGAGGGAAAGGCGAAAAGAACCCCGGCGAGGGGAGUGAAAAAGAACCUGAAACCGUGUACGUACAAGCAGUGGGAGCACAGAGCAAUCUGUGUGACUGCGUACCUUUUGUAUAAUGGGUCAGCGACUUAUAUUCUGUAGCAAGGUUAACCGAAUAGGGGAGCCGAAGGGAAACCGAGUCUUAACUGGGCGUUAAGUUGCAGGGUAUAGACCCGAAACCCGGUGAUCUAGCCAUGGGCAGGUUGAAGGUUGGGUAACACUAACUGGAGGACCGAACCGACUAAUGUUGAAAAAUUAGCGGAUGACUUGUGGCUGGGGGUGAAAGGCCAAUCAAACCGGGAGAUAGCUGGUUCUCCCCGAAAGCUAUUUAGGUAGCGCCUCGUGAAUUCAUCUCCGGGGGUAGAGCACUGUUUCGGCAAGGGGGUCAUCCCGACUUACCAACCCGAUGCAAACUGCGAAUACCGGAGAAUGUUAUCACGGGAGACACACGGCGGGUGCUAACGUCCGUCGUGAAGAGGGAAACAACCCAGACCGCCAGCUAAGGUCCCAAAGUCAUGGUUAAGUGGGAAACGAUGUGGGAAGGCCCAGACAGCCAGGAUGUUGGCUUAGAAGCAGCCAUCAUUUAAAGAAAGCGUAAUAGCUCACUGGUCGAGUCGGCCUGCGCGGAAGAUGUAACGGGGCUAAACCAUGCACCGAAGCUGCGGCAGCGACGCUGAUGCGUUGUUGGGUAGGGGAGCGUUCUGUAAGCCUGUGAAGGUGUGCUGUGAGGUAUGCUGGAGGUAUCAGAAGUGCGAAUGCUGACAUAAGUAACGAUAAAGCGGGUGAAAAGCCCGCUCGCCGGAAGACCAAGGGUUCCUGUCCAACGUUAAUCGGGGCAGGGUGAGUCGACCCCUAAGGCGAGGCCGAAAGGCGUAGUCGAUGGGAAACAGGUUAAUAUUCCUGUACUUGGUGUUACUGCGAAGGGGGGACGGAGAAGGCUAUGUUGGCCGGGCGACGGUUGUCCCGGUUUAAGCGUGUAGGCUGGUUUUCCAGGCAAAUCCGGAAAAUCAAGGCUGAGGCGUGAUGACGAGGCACUACGGUGCUGAAGCAACAAAUGCCCUGCUUCCAGGAAAAGCCUCUAAGCAUCAGGUAACAUCAAAUCGUACCCCAAACCGACACAGGUGGUCAGGUAGAGAAUACCAAGGCGCUUGAGAGAACUCGGGUGAAGGAACUAGGCAAAAUGGUGCCGUAACUUCGGGAGAAGGCACGCUGAUAUGUAGGUGAAGUCCCUCGCGGAUGGAGCUGAAAUCAGUCGAAGAUACCAGCUGGCUGCAACUGUUUAUUAAAAACACAGCACUGUGCAAACACGAAAGUGGACGUAUACGGUGUGACGCCUGCCCGGUGCCGGAAGGUUAAUUGAUGGGGUUAGCGCAAGCGAAGCUCUUGAUCGAAGCCCCGGUAAACGGCGGCCGUAACUAUAACGGUCCUAAGGUAGCGAAAUUCCUUGUCGGGUAAGUUCCGACCUGCACGAAUGGCGUAAUGAUGGCCAGGCUGUCUCCACCCGAGACUCAGUGAAAUUGAACUCGCUGUGAAGAUGCAGUGUACCCGCGGCAAGACGGAAAGACCCCGUGAACCUUUACUAUAGCUUGACACUGAACAUUGAGCCUUGAUGUGUAGGAUAGGUGGGAGGCUUUGAAGUGUGGACGCCAGUCUGCAUGGAGCCGACCUUGAAAUACCACCCUUUAAUGUUUGAUGUUCUAACGUUGACCCGUAAUCCGGGUUGCGGACAGUGUCUGGUGGGUAGUUUGACUGGGGCGGUCUCCUCCUAAAGAGUAACGGAGGAGCACGAAGGUUGGCUAAUCCUGGUCGGACAUCAGGAGGUUAGUGCAAUGGCAUAAGCCAGCUUGACUGCGAGCGUGACGGCGCGAGCAGGUGCGAAAGCAGGUCAUAGUGAUCCGGUGGUUCUGAAUGGAAGGGCCAUCGCUCAACGGAUAAAAGGUACUCCGGGGAUAACAGGCUGAUACCGCCCAAGAGUUCAUAUCGACGGCGGUGUUUGGCACCUCGAUGUCGGCUCAUCACAUCCUGGGGCUGAAGUAGGUCCCAAGGGUAUGGCUGUUCGCCAUUUAAAGUGGUACGCGAGCUGGGUUUAGAACGUCGUGAGACAGUUCGGUCCCUAUCUGCCGUGGGCGCUGGAGAAUUGAGGGGGGCUGCUCCUAGUACGAGAGGACCGGAGUGGACGCAUCACUGGUGUUCGGGUUGUCAUGCCAAUGGCACUGCCCGGUAGCUAAAUGCGGAAGAGAUAAGUGCUGAAAGCAUCUAAGCACGAAACUUGCCCCGAGAUGAGUUCUCCCUGACUCCUUGAGAGUCCUGAAGGAACGUUGAAGACGACGACGUUGAUAGGCCGGGUGUGUAAGCGCAGCGAUGCGUUGAGCUAACCGGUACUAAUGAACCGUGAGGCUUAACCUU
Molecule: ribosomal RNA, 2497 nt
Filed under: Escherichia coli
Lineage: Bacteria; Pseudomonadati; Pseudomonadota; Gammaproteobacteria; Enterobacterales; Enterobacteriaceae
Description: bacterial LSU rRNA
Rfam family: Bacterial large subunit ribosomal RNA
Source: RNAcentral